This 485-nucleotide ribosomal RNA is filed under the name uncultured bacterium. RNAcentral's name for it is "partial 16S ribosomal RNA". It matches the Rfam family "Bacterial small subunit ribosomal RNA", at positions 28 to 523 of the family's 1533-position model. The record is from RNAcentral.
GAUGAACGCUAGCGGCAGGCCUAAUACAUGCAAGUCGAACGGUGUCUUCGGACAUAGUGGCGCACGGGUGCGUAACACGUAUGCAACCUACCUUACAUUGGGGGAUAGCCUUUCGAAAGGGAGAUUAAUACCGCAUAAGACAGUAGCUGGGCAUCCAGCAGCUGUUAAAGAUUUAUCGAUGUAAGCUGGGCAUGCGUCCAAUUAGCUAGUUGGUGAGGUAACGGCUCACCAAGGCAAUGAUUGGUAGGGGAACUGAGAGGUCAAUCCCCCACACUGGCACUGAGAUACGGGCCAGACUCCUACGGGAGGCAGCAGUAGGGAAUAUUGGUCAAUGGGUGAGAGCCUGAACCAGCCAUGCCGCGUGCAGGAAGAAAGCCUUCUGGGUUGUAAACUGCUUUUGCCAGGGGAUAAAAUACCCAUGCGUGGGAAAUUGAAGGUACCUGGUGAAUAAGCCACAGCUAACUACGUGCCAGCCGCCGCCGUAA